CUACGGGAGGCAGCAGUGGGGAAUAUUGGACAAUGGGCGCAAGCCUGAUCCAGCCAUGCCGCGUGAGUGAUGAAGGCCUUCGGGUCGUAAAGCUCUGUGGGAAGGGACGAAAAAGCUGCAUCUAAUACCUGCAGCCUUGACGGUACCUUCUUAGCAAGCACCGGCUAACUCCGUGCCAGCAGCCGCGGUAAUACGGAGGGUGCAAACGUUGCUCGGAAUCAUUGGGCGUAAAGCGCACGUAGGCGGUUCGGUAAGUCGGAUGUGAAAUCCCUCGGCUUAACCGAGGAAGUGCAUCCGAAACUGCCGAGCUUGAGUACGGAAGAGGGUCUCGGAAUUCCCGGUGUAGAGGUGAAAUUCGUAGAUAUCGGGAGGAACACCAGUGGCGAAGGCGGAGACCUGGGCCGAUACUGACGCUGAGGUGCGAAAGCGUGGGGAGCAAACAGGAUUAGAUACCCGAGUAGUCC
This 464-nucleotide ribosomal RNA is filed under the name uncultured bacterium. RNAcentral describes it as "bacterial SSU rRNA". It matches the Rfam family "Bacterial small subunit ribosomal RNA", at positions 339 to 796 of the family's 1533-position model. The record is from RNAcentral.